RNAcentral lists this long non-coding RNA (1317 nucleotides) under Oryzias javanicus (javanese ricefish). RNAcentral describes it as "lncRNA (ENSOJAG00000012444.1)". Lineage: Eukaryota; Metazoa; Chordata; Actinopteri; Beloniformes; Adrianichthyidae. The record is from RNAcentral.
GUCACUGAGAAUGUGUGAAACAAAUCAGUUUUUUAUAGAACUUUAUUCUAAACAUCAGUUUUAGGACAAAACUAUUAAUAUACAUUGUGCAUCAAAACAAACAUAUCAAUAAUAAAUAAGGAGCCAGCGGUAGGGACAAACGAACAAAAGCACACAAAUAAAUAUCAAUAAACAUAAGUCAAAAACAAAAAACAUAUUUUCAAAAAGUAAAUUAACAUUUUAAAUAAUUUCAUGUUGAGGAAAGUUUUCAUGAGAUUUUAGUUUUUUGGUUCUUAGAAAAACAAAUUGUAAAUUUUAGAAAAAUAUAUAUAUAUAUUUAAGAACAAGUGUAUUUGUGAAAAUAAAACUUGUCAAGGAAGAAGAAUAAAUAGAUUAAAGAAAAAGUGGUGGAAGUCAAACAAUACAUGUUUCCAAAGUAAAGUAAAUGAGAAAGUAAACGUAUACCAAAAGAAAUCUCAGAAAAAAAAGUAAAAAAAAAAAAAAGAUUGAAGUUGUUAAACACUAAAAACGUGGAUCUGUUUUAUGAAAUUAUGUAAAAACUCUGUUCUAUAAUUUCAAGGAUGUAGUUGUUCAAUUACAAACAAUUUUCUUCAUUAAAAAAAAAAUAAAACAAAAAAAUCGUCUCGGUUAAAAAAAAAUAAAAUAAACCAAGAGUCCUCGAAGCGGAACCUUCACCUCCUCGUCUUUGUUCCCCCCCGGAACAGAAUCGGAGUUCCCCCGCCGGAUGUUGAUGCUUCCACCGCGGCUCCUCUCGCCUCUCGUCGGGUUUUCAGAGAACUUCGGCCGCGGCUGAAACCACCGGAGCCCCGUUGAUGCUCCGCGGGGAGAGCGCGAGCUUCAGUCGGUGCUCCGCAGCCUGCAGCCCGCCCCGGAGGCCGCUCCGCCCGCAGGAUGACCCCCGCCGCCGCCGUGCAGACCCGGCUGGCCGCCGUCAUGGAGUCUCUGGUCCACGCCGCCGUGGCGGAGCUGAAGAAGCUGCUGGACGACAGCCGGACUCCCGGAGAGGAGAGCCGGGAGGAGACGGUGCAGUUCGCUUUGGUCAUGGAGACUCUGGGGAACGAGGCUCUGGGGAAGAUCCUGAACAUCGUCCAGGAGGCGGGGCUUCUUCAGGCGCGAAGAGCGGCCGGAAGCCGCGGAUCAGCGUUCUCAACAUCCUCAACAACACGCGUGUGGGUGUGUAAACAAGCCCCGCCCCCAGCUGUCACUCAGACUGACUGCAUCCUUCAGACUGAUGAUUGUUUUUGUUUCUCCCAGAGCUUGAACACUCGUACGGAGUCCGGCAUCAAACCGACGCAAAACGAAGCGUCAUCCAGGUGA